GGAUGCCUAGGCGGUAGAAGGCGAUGAAGGACGUGGUAGCCUGCGAUAAGCUUCGGGGAGUCGGCAAACUGACUUUGAUCCGGAGAUUUCCGAAUGGGGAAACCCACCUGUCAUAAGGCAGGUAUUCUACACUGAAUACAUAGGUGUAGGAGGCAAACCCGGGGAACUGAAACAUCUAAGUACCCGGAGGAAAAGAAAUCAAUUGAGAUUCCCUCAGUAGCGGCGAGCGAAAGGGGAACAGCCCUUAAG
This 249-nucleotide ribosomal RNA is filed under the name Bacillus thuringiensis. Its description in RNAcentral is "partial 23S ribosomal RNA". It matches the Rfam family "Bacterial large subunit ribosomal RNA", at positions 26 to 275 of the family's 2925-position model. The record is from RNAcentral. Lineage: Bacteria; Bacillati; Bacillota; Bacilli; Caryophanales; Bacillaceae.